CAGUAGCCGCGGGAAUACGGAGGAUCCAAGCGUUAUCCGGAAUCAUUGGGUUUAAAGGGUCCGUAGGCGGUCUUGUAAGUCAGUGGUGAAAGCCCAUCGCUCAACGGUGGAACGGCCAUUGAUACUGCAGGACUUGAAUUAUUGGGAAGUAACUAGAAUAUGUAGUGUAGCGGUGAAAUGCUUAGAGAUUACAUGGAAUACCAAUUGCGAAGGCAGGUUACUACCAAUUGAUUGACGCUGAUGGACGAAAGCGUGGGUAGCGAACAGGAUUAGAUACCCGUGUAGUCCCUGUCUCUUAUAC
This 301-nucleotide ribosomal RNA is filed under the name uncultured bacterium. RNAcentral describes it as "partial 16S ribosomal RNA". It matches the Rfam family "Bacterial small subunit ribosomal RNA", at positions 509 to 807 of the family's 1533-position model. The record is from RNAcentral.